RNAcentral lists this ribosomal RNA (654 nucleotides) under uncultured Actinomycetales bacterium. RNAcentral describes it as "bacterial SSU rRNA". It matches the Rfam family "Bacterial small subunit ribosomal RNA", at positions 75 to 744 of the family's 1533-position model. Lineage: Bacteria; Bacillati; Actinomycetota; Actinomycetes; Actinomycetales. The record is from RNAcentral.
CCAGCUUGCUGGGGUACACGAGUGGCGAACGGGUGAGUAACACGUGGGUGACCUGCCCUGCACUUCGGGAUAAGCCUGGGAAACUGGGUCUAAUACCGGAUAGGACCGCACCGUGAGGGUGUGGUGGAAAGUUUUUUCGGUGUGGGAUGGGCCCGCGGCCUAUCAGCUUGUUGGUGGGGUAAUGGCCUACCAAGGCGGCGACGGGUAGCCGGCCUGAGAGGGUGGACGGCCACAUUGGGACUGAGACACGGCCCAGACUCCUACGGGAGGCAGCAGUGGGGAAUAUUGCACAAUGGGCGGAAGCCUGAUGCAGCGACGCCGCGUGGGGGAUGACGGCCUUCGGGUUGUAAACUCCUUUCACCAUCGACGAUGGGUUUCUGACGGUAGAUGGAGAAGAAGCACCGGCUAACUACGUGCCAGCAGCCGCGGUAAUACGUAGGGUGCGAGCGUUGUCCGGAAUUACUGGGCGUAAAGAGCUCGUAGGUGGUUUGUCGCGUCGUCUGUGAAAUUCCGGGGCUUAACUCCGGGCGUGCAGGCGAUACGGGCAUAACUUGAGUACUGUAGGGGAGACUGGAAUUCCUGGUGUAGCGGUGAAAUGCGCAGAUAUCAGGAGGAACACCGGUGGCGAAGGCGGGUCUCUGGGCAGUAACUGAC